This 252-nucleotide ribosomal RNA is filed under the name uncultured bacterium. Its description in RNAcentral is "partial 16S ribosomal RNA". It matches the Rfam family "Bacterial small subunit ribosomal RNA", at positions 524 to 776 of the family's 1533-position model. The record is from RNAcentral.
UACGGAGGGUGCAAGCGUUGUCCGGAUUCAUUGGGUUUAAAGGGUGCGCAGGCGGGACAUUAAGUCAGGGGUGAAAGACGGUGCUCAACAAUCGCAGUGCCUUUGAUACUGGUGUUCUUGGGUGACCUUGAGGUAGGCGGAAUGGGUGGUGUAGCGGUGAAAUGCGUAGAUAUCAGGAGGAACACCGAUGGCGAAGGCAGGUCUCUGGGCCACUACUGACGCUGAGAAGCGAAAGCAUGGGGAGCGAACAGG